This 118-nucleotide ribosomal RNA is filed under the name uncultured bacterium. Its description in RNAcentral is "partial 16S ribosomal RNA". It matches the Rfam family "Bacterial small subunit ribosomal RNA", at positions 1386 to 1500 of the family's 1533-position model. The record is from RNAcentral.
CACACCGCCCGUCACAUCACGAAAGUGGGUCGUACUAGAAAGUCGGUGGGCUAACCGCAAGGAGGCAGUCCGCCCAAGGUAUGAUUCAUGAUUGGGGUGAAGUCGUAAACAAGGUACC